CAAUAGGAUUUUUGUAAGUCGCUCUGGAUAAGAGCGUCUGCUAAAUGACUUAAA
Non-coding RNA from Salmo salar (Atlantic salmon), 54 nucleotides. Lineage: Eukaryota; Metazoa; Chordata; Actinopteri; Salmoniformes; Salmonidae. The record is from Rfam.